This 1214-nucleotide ribosomal RNA is filed under the name metagenome. RNAcentral describes it as "bacterial SSU rRNA". It matches the Rfam family "Bacterial small subunit ribosomal RNA", at positions 243 to 1481 of the family's 1533-position model. The record is from RNAcentral.
AGAUAGUUGGUGAGGUAACGGCUCACCAAGUCGACGAUCAGUAGCCGGACCGAGAGGUUGAACGGCCACAUUGGGACUGAGACACGGCCCAGACUCCUACGGGAGGCAGCAGUGGGGAAUAUUGCACAAUGGGGGAAACCCUGAUGCAGCGAUGCCGCGUGGAGGAAGAAGGUUUUCGGAUUGUAAACUCCUGUCUUAAAGGACGAUAAUGACGGUACUUUAGGAGGAAGCUCCGGCUAACUACGUGCCAGCAGCCGCGGUAAUACGUAGGGAGCGAGCGUUGUCCGGAAUUACUGGGUGUAAAGGGAGCGUAGGCGGGACGGCAAGUCAGAUGUGAAAUACAUGGGCUCAACCCAUGGGCUGCAUUUGAAACUGCUGUUCUUGAGUGAAGUAGAGGUAAGCGGAAUUCCUGGUGUAGCGGUGAAAUGCGUAGAUAUCAGGAGGAACACCGGUGGCGAAGGCGGCUUACUGGGCUUUUACUGACGCUGAGGCUCGAAAGCGUGGGGAGCAAACAGGAUUAGAUACCCUUGAGUCCACGCUGUAAACGAUGAUUACUAGGUGUGGGGGGACUGACCCCUUCCGUGCCGCAGUUGACACAAUAAGUAAUCCACCUGGGGAGUACGGCCGCAAGGUUGAAACUCAAAGGAAUUGACGGGGGCCCGCACAAGCAGUGGAGUAUGUGGUUUAAUUCGAAGCAACGCGAAGAACCUUACCAGGUCUUGACAUCGAGUGCAUAACUAAGAGAUUAGUGAAAUCCCUUCGGGGACACUUAGACAGGUGGUGCAUGGUUGUCGUCAGCUCGUGUCGUGAGAUGUUGGGUUAAGUCCCGCAACGAGCGCAACCCUUACCUUUAGUUGCUACGCAAGAGCACUCUAAAGGGACUGCCGUUGACAAAACGGAGGAAGGUGGGGAUGACGUCAAAUCAUCAUGCCCCUUAUGACCUGGGCUACACACGUACUACAAUGGCAAUCAACAAAGAGAAGCAAGACAGUGAUGUGGAGCAAAUCUCAAAAAAUUGUCCCAGUUCAGAUUGUAGGCUGCAACUCGCCUACAUGAAGUCGGAAUUGCUAGUAAUCGCGGAUCAGAAUGCCGCGGUGAAUACGUUCCCGGGCCUUGUACACACCGCCCGUCACACCAUGGGAGUCGGUAACACCCGAAGUCGGUAGUCUAACAGCAAUGAGGACGCCGCCGAAGGUGGGAUUGGUGACUGGGGU